AGUUAAUGUAUGCAAAACCUGGAAUUGCAAAAGACCUAAACCCUUUUAAUAGAGAUUCAAAUUCUCUCAUUAACU
This 75-nucleotide transfer RNA is filed under the name Ololygon heyeri. Its description in RNAcentral is "tRNA-Leu". It matches the Rfam family "tRNA". Rfam says of the family: Transfer RNA (tRNA) molecules are approximately 80 nucleotides in length. Their secondary structure includes four short double-helical elements and three loops (D, anti-codon, and T loops). The record is from RNAcentral. Lineage: Eukaryota; Metazoa; Chordata; Amphibia; Anura; Hylidae.